GGGUAGAUGAUCCGAUUGGUAAUGGUGGUUCUCUGUAAAAGAAUUGGCUUCACGCCGUAAUAGGUUCGAUUCCUAUGCUGCUCA
This 84-nucleotide transfer RNA is filed under the name Cyathus stercoreus. Its description in RNAcentral is "tRNA-Tyr". It matches the Rfam family "tRNA". From Rfam's summary of the family: Transfer RNA (tRNA) molecules are approximately 80 nucleotides in length. Their secondary structure includes four short double-helical elements and three loops (D, anti-codon, and T loops). The record is from RNAcentral. Lineage: Eukaryota; Fungi; Basidiomycota; Agaricomycetes; Agaricales; Nidulariaceae.